UUAAAUUGAAGAGUUUGAUCAUGGCUCAGAUUGAACGCUGGCGGCAGGCCUAACACAUGCAAGUCGAACGGUAGCACAGAGAGCUUGCUCUCGGGUGACGAGUGGCGGACGGGUGAGUAAUGUCUGGGAAACUGCCUGAUGGAGGGGGAUAACUACUGGAAACGGUAGCUAAUACCGCAUAACGUCGCAAGACCAAAGAGGGGGACCUUCGGGCCUCUUGCCAUCAGAUGUGCCCAGAUGGGAUUAGCUAGUAGGUGGGGUAACGGCUCACCUAGGCGACGAUCCCUAGCUGGUCUGAGAGGAUGACCAGCCACACUGGAACUGAGACACGGUCCAGACUCCUACGGGAGGCAGCAGUGGGGAAUAUUGCACAAUGGGCGCAAGCCUGAUGCAGCCAUGCCGCGUGUAUGAAGAAGGCCU
Molecule: ribosomal RNA, 420 nt
Filed under: Enterobacter cloacae
Lineage: Bacteria; Pseudomonadati; Pseudomonadota; Gammaproteobacteria; Enterobacterales; Enterobacteriaceae
Description: bacterial SSU rRNA
Rfam family: Bacterial small subunit ribosomal RNA
Source: RNAcentral